CCGGGUCCGGACACACUGAGGAUUGACAGGUAACGUUAUACACACAUAUAUUUACUCUCGGGUAUUUAUACUGCUGUGUAUAUAUAAAAUAUGCUAGUCCUUUCAUGAUUAUGUGAUAGGUGGUGCAUGGCCGUUCUUAGUUCGUGGAGUGAUCUGUCUGCUUAAUUGCGUUUCACUAAGGAUCUAUAUUCAUAUUACGCAUAGCAUUUUGACCCCUUUAUGCUUCGGUAUAAAGCUGCGCGUCAAACCUUGCUAUCUGCGUAUAUUAGAUCCUGAAAGCAACGAACGUGACCGCAACCUCUUGUUGCCUUUAACUAGGUUUUGCUUACGUAUAGCUUCGGCUUUACGCUUUGCAUCUAAAAAGGCUGAUUUUCUAAACUAGAGGGACCGCUGUUACUUUCUUAAACCAGAGGAAGGUUGCGGCAAUAACAG
Molecule: ribosomal RNA, 432 nt
Filed under: Nonionella sp. T1
Lineage: Eukaryota; Foraminifera; Rotaliida; Nonionidae
Description: SSU rRNA
Rfam family: Eukaryotic small subunit ribosomal RNA
Source: RNAcentral